CCUACGGGGAGCAGCAGUGGGGAAUAUUGCACAAUGGGGGAAACCCUGAUGCAGCAACGCCGCGUGGGUGAAGGAGCGUUUCGGCGCGUAAAGCCCUGUCAGCGGGGAAGAAGAAUGACGGUACCUGACUCAGAAGCCCCGGCUAACUACGUGCCAGCAGCCGCGGUAAUACGUAGGGGGCAAGCGUUAUCCCGAUUUACUGGGUGUAAAGGGAGCGUAGACGGGGAUGCAAGUCUGAAGUGAAAGGCGGGGGCCCAACCUCCGGACUGCUUUGGAAACUGGAUGGCUGGAGUGCAGGAGAGGUAAGUGGAAUUCCUAGUGGAGCGGUGAAAUGCGUAGAUAUUAGGAGGAACACCAGUGGCGAAGGCGGCUUACUGGACUGUAACUGACGUUGAGGCUCGAAAGCGUGGGGAGCAAACAGGAUUAGAUACCCCGGGAAGUC
Molecule: ribosomal RNA, 442 nt
Filed under: uncultured bacterium
Lineage: Bacteria
Description: partial 16S ribosomal RNA
Rfam family: Bacterial small subunit ribosomal RNA
Source: RNAcentral